RNAcentral lists this long non-coding RNA (1222 nucleotides) under Gouania willdenowi (blunt-snouted clingfish). RNAcentral describes it as "lncRNA (ENSGWIG00000017622.1)". The record is from RNAcentral. Lineage: Eukaryota; Metazoa; Chordata; Actinopteri; Blenniiformes; Gobiesocidae.
GCUCGAAGAUCCAGGAUGUGUGGAGCCCAGAAAUCCAUGUGGUGGUGCAAGCCCCAAGUUCUGGUGGACCAGUCUACUCUGUGGCACCCAUUGGAAACCCCCAGAGGAGCCCAAACACGCAGCCUCCCGAGGUCCAGCGCGAGACGGAGGAGAAUGAGGAAGAGAGUUUCUAUGUGGUCACCAGGCCACCCCUUGGAGAGGCAACCACUUCCACUGAGCCCUUACAAGCAGGUACCCCCCUUCAUUCUAAUAACCCGCCUGUCUCUGAGCCCUCAGGAGGUUCUUCAAGUCAGCCCCCGCAUCAGCUCCCAGAAGGCCCUAGGAGGACAACCCGGGCCACAGCGGGUCAGCACCCGAACAGGCACCAUCUCCCUGUCACGGCAUCUCAUAGGUCAGGUGGGGCUGCUGCCUCCCGGGUCAGUGGUGCCAGUAGUAUGGUGAGUGCUUAUUUUAGGCCCUGGGACUAGCCAUGGCAUCACCGGGACGGUGAUGACAAACUGGGGACAGAUUGUAGCAGACAGCAGGGGGCCCCCUUCACCAAUAGUGCCACUUCCUGCCUUAUGGUGGAAGUGGCCUAAUUAAGUCUCCCCUGCACCUGGCGAUCAGUCUUGACUGCUGCUGGCUGGUGACAGGUGUGCUUUUAACUUCUCCCUCAUUUGAGCAUUUUUAAUCUGUUCUUAACUUGCCUUUCUGGUUUUAGAGCUUCUGUAGAACUCCGGUGGCAGCUAAUUUCCCCCGUUUUUAUUGCAACUUUAAGGUGGGACAAGCGUUUUAAUACUUUGUAUUUGUAUUUGGGUUUUAACGUUUGUUUCCAUUUUAAUUGCAGAUUUUAGCCUGCUACUGUUUUGUUUAGGGUUCAUUUUUAGGGUUUCUUUUUGGUUGAAUUGGAGUUUAUUUUUGUAUCAUUUGGUAUCUUUUUUUAGAAAUCCUUACCUCUGCACCAGUUAUGUUUAGCAGUCCCUGGGUCUUUUAGUCUUUUUUUCCCUUGGGUGUGCUUGGGAGGAGGAAUUGGCCCGUUUUCUGUUUUGCACUUGGGAUUUUUGUUAUUUAGUGUGUUUGUGAUUAGCAUUGUCUGUUUUGUUUGGGGUGGGGCUUCCUCCUCUCCAGCCAUUCUGGUUUGGUUCUUUUCUAAUAUUUAUCUGCCUUUUUUUCAGAUUUUGUUUGGUUCUGGCACAGGGGCUGCAAGGUUUUACCCUUUUAAAUUGUAUUUUUAAUAUGGCCA